Molecule: ribosomal RNA, 496 nt
Filed under: uncultured bacterium
Lineage: Bacteria
Description: partial 16S ribosomal RNA
Rfam family: Bacterial small subunit ribosomal RNA
Source: RNAcentral
GAUGAACGCUGGCGGCGUGCCUAAUACAUGCAAGUCGAGCGAACAGACGAGGAGCUUGCUCCUCUGACGUUAGCGGCGGACGGGUGAGUAACACGUGGAUAACCUACCUGUAAGACUGGGAUAACUUCGGGAAACCGGAGCUAAUACCGGAUAACAUGUUGAACCGCAUGGUUCAACAGUGAAAGACGGUCUUGCUGUCACUUAUAGAUGGAUCCGCGCCGCAUUAGCGAGUUGGUAAGGUAACGGCUUACCAAGGCAACGAUGCGUAGCCGACCUGAGAGGGUGAUCGGCCACACUGGAACUGAGAAACGGUCCAGACUCCUACGGGAGGCAGCAGUAGGGAAUCUUCCGCAAUGGGCGAAAGCCUGACGGAGCAACGCCGCGUGAGUGAAGAAGGUCUUCGGAUCGUAAAACUCUGUUAUUAGGGAAGAACAAAUGUGUAAGUAACUAUGCACGUCUUGACGGUACCUAAUCAGAAAGCCACGGCUAACUACGU